This is a non-coding RNA of Canis lupus familiaris (dog), 62 nucleotides long. Lineage: Eukaryota; Metazoa; Chordata; Mammalia; Carnivora; Canidae. The record is from Rfam.
UAGGGGAGCCAGGGUUCAGCACCCCUCCCCGAGCCCAGGGUAACUCUCAGAGUAGAGGGGCA